RNA transcript from Diospyros lotus (date-plum), 3536 nucleotides. RefSeq lists it as uncharacterized. NCBI's taxonomy places the organism in Eukaryota, Viridiplantae, Streptophyta, Magnoliopsida, Ericales, Ebenaceae. The transcript has 3 exons. The record is from RefSeq and is a predicted model, not a curated record.
UUGAUGCUGAUAUAUAUGCGUGAACGUGGCGGUCAUGCCUAUCCGUCUCAACACCGCUCUCUGCAACUUUCCUAAGAUGGUUUCUUCGUUAAAUCUCUCUCUCUCGUCGAUGGCGGUUUCCGGCCAGCGUUUCCUCCUCCUCAUCUCCGUCCUCCUAACCCUAAUCGCUUUAUCGGCCGCCUCAAGGCCUGGCCCCUACAAAACCAUAAUCUUCUUCUCCGCUCCGUCGUCGCCGCAUCGGAAUCCCCCUUUCUUCUCUUUCUAUAUCUUCCAACGCCCUUCUUUCCCUGUUUUCUUCUCCAGGAUAAGAAAUUUCUACUCCGAGUCCACACUCUUUGUCGAUCGCACAGUCGUUAGCGAACAAGCCCCUCCCCUGCGUUCCGGAUUUUACUCCUCUGCGCUCCACGACCGCAUUAUGAAAUUUUUGCUGAUCAUUGGGUCUCUGCUUGCGGGGGCUGGCUGUGGCGCCCUUUCCGCGAUUGCUAUUUACCUGAUGUUGUCUCGUUUCGCUUCCGAUCGUUUUGAAUUCGUCGAUUUUGAUAAUGAUGGUAGCCCUAAGACGAUGGAAUACCUUCCAGUCCCGAAGGCCGAUUCCAUCGUCGGUGUUCCGCCAACCAAAGAGGUCGUUUGAGGGUUUGAGAGAGGAAGAAGUUCAAUUGGCAUGUUCUGAAUUGGGGAAGUUUAAUCAUAUUGUAUCACGAAAAACACCAUUAUCUCUUGCGAUCUCACAUCCUUAUGAAAUGAUUGAGUUAUUUUCACUUUUUGUAGAAUUUAAUUAUUGAUAUCUCCUGAUAUAUUAUGCAUAGAGGUAUGCAUCCUGUUCAUCUCAAAAAACUUACUUUUGCAUUUGUUAUAUUUUCAUUCAUCUCCAUCAAUGUAGCAAACAUUUUUCUUGAUGCAAUCUUAGUUUCUUACAUGCUACGUAUUUGAAUAUUUAAUUAACCACCUCAUCAUAAAAAUAUGAAAUGUUACUAUCAUUGUAGCUAUACCUCAUUUUUUAACUCCUGUCAAAGCAACCAUAGAUUCAAAAGUAGUAUUUAAAGCUUCCUACAUCAGAUGGUUAAAAAAAAAAAAUACUAAAAGCAGUUAAACAUAGUUUAAUUCAUAAUGUAUAAUACUUUAAUAACAUAAUGCAAAUUAAGAAGUUAAUAAAUCAUUAAUUUAAAAUUAUUAACAUAAAUAAAGUAAGUUAUAAAUCAAUUAUCAUAAAAUAUCAAGGAAGUUAAAAUAACAAUUCCGUGCGUGUAAGUUAAUAAUGCAACAAUUAUCUAUCCAUUUGUAGGCUUCAUUAGCUAGGUUUCUUUCUUUCUUCUACCUUAACUCUGUCAUCAUUCCAGAACUCUAUUGGUAUACAAUUAUGAGGAAUCAACUUCACUAGUAUGAAUUGAUGGAAAUAAAUUAUCUAAAACAUUUAGCAAGAAAAAUGAAAAAGUUGUUAGUAAUAUCUUUGGAAUGAACAAACAAGAGUUCAAGAAAAAAAAAAUUGACUUAAAUGACUAUUUGUAAAAUGAAAAUGCAACCACUGAUGGAUCCUUUUGGCUUGUUGUUAGCUGACUUUUAGGAUCUUUCUUGUAUCUAAUCAUCUCUCAAACUAACCAAUCUAAAACAUACUUUGACUAGUUACAAGUACUAGCAUUUUCCACAUCAACUACAACAGAUAGUGUUUUUAACUAGGCUCUAAAGCAAUAGUUGGAUAUAAAAAUUGAUCUAGGCUAUAAAGCAAGAAAACUCUUUUGAAUUAGGUAGGCAAGACAUUUUUUUGAAGAAUAUGAGAAAAUCAUUUAGCCCUAAUUUAUUAAAAAGAUUUUCACACAUCAAUGUCAACCUCUUAGCCAUUAUUAGGAAUACACAAAAAUGCUUCCUACAACAUCACAAGUCAGAGGACUAUAGAUUCACUUCCCAACCCUUCAGCACAAGUUUUUGUCUCAAAUUUUUUAAUCAAAAUGUCACAUGUAUCCCUACACAAUGUAUUACAACUUAAUCUUAAUAAAGACCAAAAACCCAUUUCUUUCACAUAAUUUCAUUGAGUAACUUAAGUUCAGAUCGUCAUUUCCAGAAAGUAGAUGGUGAGGAUUGGGUUUGGAAAGCAGUCUAUAAAAACAAAAUAAUUAUCAAUCAUAUUGUACACUUAAUAAAUUUAUAAUAGACUAAUUAAGAAUAUGUACAAAUUUACUUGCAUUAUGUAAAUGUAAGUAUCAUCAACUUAUGUAUUUUAUGAGGAUCUGUUCAGUUCAUAAUAAUGUUUUCUUUGUUCAAUCACCUUUCGUUGGUAUGAAAUAUGUGAGGUGGCUGCUCAAAGCUGGAAAUAACAGAUUCAUGGAACAAUUGUUUUAAGUUUUGUCUUGGAAAAAAUACAGGGUUGAAUCUUGGUGGUUUUGGAGUAUUUUAGUUUUUUCCAGCUUAAAGAGCUGAAUUUUCUACAUCAGUUCCAAGAAUUUCAGCGUCAUAUGGAACCUCAAUGAUGAGGUUCUAAGGUAUUAAUUUCAGCUAUGGCUGUGGUUCUAAUUUCUUUGGUAUGCUUCUUGAUUCAAGAUAAAGAGAAUUUGUCUGUAAUUUUUUUUAAUUAUCAAUGAUGGGGGGUUUUAGGAAAGGAUGACUUAUUUGUUACAAUCUAGAAAGAGGGAGGGAGAGGAGGAUAAGAUCUUGGAAUAAGUGAAGAGGAAAAGAAUAUUAGACUAUUUAGAUCUUUAGGGUAGUGUUCUUGAGUGUUCAAGUGAUUUUCUUUCUGUCGUUCUUGAGCAUUGGCUGUUUUGAUGGAAACACUGUUUUAUUCUCUGUUAUUGUUCACAUAUUUGAAACUUCUUGUGAUGGCUGUUGUGUUUAGGUUCUAUCUGAUCUUUGGGAUUUUGAGGAUGGGUUGCAGCUUUUAGGAGGUUAUUUCUGUCAAGUUUUGGAAUGUUUGUAUUAAGCUCUGCUUCUGGGCUGUUUUACAGGGUGGUUUUUGCCAUUUUGGGUGGAGUGGUUGCUUUACAAAUCAUUUGCUUUUUUGUUCUUCUUAGCCUCCAAAGGCAUCACUCCUUGUUACUUCCUGUCAAUACAUGUUAUUGGGAAAGAACAAUACACAAUGAGCAGCCCACUGCUCAAUUCAGUGCCUACGUAUCUUCUAUGGAUUUCCACUAGCCUAUUCAGCAAAAACAUAGACAAACUAUGUUACUAAUAUCUUUUAGAUGUUAAAAUAAUCAUUAAAAUAUGAGUUAGAAAGCAAAUAAUGUCUCUGUUUACCCUGCUGCACUACCUAUAUGGCACAAAACAAUUUAAAGCUGGAAUGAAAAUUCUUACAACAUGUAUGGUCCUUAGCCAUACGAUCCAAAGUUUAGCACAAAUCAGUUGAUAUUCAUGUUUCCACUUCAAUUGGUUGAAUCAGAGGGUAAUUGGUUGAUAUUCAUGUUUCCACUUCAAUUGGUUUAAUCUUGCUUUGUCCCAUUUUCCUGCUUCCUUUUGUUUAUUUACUGAAGACAAACAAUAUCAGUGCAUUCUUUAUCUUCAAUUUGUCUCUAAAACAAAUCCGACGUCAUUUUCUUUGCCGAGAAAACAUC